AGUCGAACGGCAGCACGGGGGCACCCUGGUGGCGAGUGGCGAACGGGUGAGUAAUACAUCGGAACGUGUCCUGUAGUGGGGGAUAGCCCGGCGAAAGCCGGAUUAAUACCGCAUACGAUCUACGGAAGAAAGCGGGGGAUCCUUCGGGACCUCGCGCUAUAGGGGCGGCCGAUGGCAGAUUAGCUAGUUGGUGGGGUAAAGGCCUACCAAGGCGACGAUCUGUAGCUGGUCUGAGAGGACGACCAGCCACACUGGGACUGAGAUACGGCCCAGACUCCUACGGGAGGCAGCAGUGGGGAAUUUUGGACAAUGGGGGCAACCCUGAUCCAGCAAUGCCGCGUGUGUGAAGAAGGCCUUCGGGUUGUAAAGCACUUUUGUCCGGAAAGAAAACCUACCUGUUAAUACCGGGUGGGGAUGACGGUACCGGAAGAAUAAGCACCGGCUAACUACGUGCCAGCAGCCGCGGUAAUACGUAGGGUGCGAGCGUUAAUCGGAAUUACUGGGCGUAAAGCGUGCGCAGGCGGUCUGUUAAGACCGAUGUGAAAUCCCCGGGCUUAACCUGGGAACUGCAUUGGUGACUGGCAGGCUAGAGUAUGGCAGAGGGGGGUAGAAUUCCACGUGUAGCAGUGAAAUGCGUAGAGAUGUGGAGGAAUACCGAUGGCGAAGGCAGCCCCCUGGGCCAAUACUGACGCUCAUGCACGAAAGCGUGGGGAGCAAACAGGAUUAGAUACCCUGGUAGUCCACGCCCUAAACGAUGUCAACUAGUUGUUGGGGAUUCAUUUCCUUAGUAACGUAGCUAACGCGUGAAGUUGACCGCCUGGGGAGUACGGUCGCAAGAUUAAAACUCAAAGGAAUUGACGGGGACCCGCACAAGCGGUGGAUGAUGUGGAUUAAUUCGAUGCAACGCGAAAAACCUUACCUACCCUUGACAUGGACGAAACCCGGGUGAGAGCCUGGGGUGCUCGAAAGA
RNAcentral lists this ribosomal RNA (970 nucleotides) under Burkholderiaceae bacterium Joy4c. RNAcentral's name for it is "bacterial SSU rRNA". It matches the Rfam family "Bacterial small subunit ribosomal RNA", at positions 60 to 1025 of the family's 1533-position model. Lineage: Bacteria; Pseudomonadati; Pseudomonadota; Betaproteobacteria; Burkholderiales; Burkholderiaceae. The record is from RNAcentral.